Felis catus (domestic cat) is the source of this 1864-nucleotide long non-coding RNA. RefSeq lists it as uncharacterized. The transcript is spliced from 3 exons. NCBI's taxonomy places the organism in Eukaryota, Metazoa, Chordata, Mammalia, Carnivora, Felidae. The record is from RefSeq and is a predicted model, not a curated record.
AACCUAGAUGGGAUUAUGAGGAGAGACAAUGAUGUAAUAAGUACAUGCUGUGGAGAAGCUCCCCAUUGGAGUAGGAAGUGUCUGGGAUUUACAGUCAGAGAACCUAGGUUCUGGGCUCAGUGCUGCUGCUGUGUAACCAGAGUCAAGUAGUCAGGAUUUGUGCAAUUUUCCCUGUUUUAUGUAAGGGAAAACAUGCCCAGAAAUUCAUUAAGCCAUUGGUGGCAAAGCGAGACUGGAACCAGGUUUUCUGGGCUACAUAAUCAUGUAGUUUUGGUAAUUAAAGGAGAGAAGUUUUUUUUAAAAAGUAGUAGCCAAUAUCCAUUGUGUACUUACUAUGUUCCCAGUGUAGUAGAUUGUUGCAAUAAUGGCGUAUAUUUGCCCACAUCUCCUUGUAUCCAUUCCUUGGCAUAGUCCUUGCCUGCACUGCAUCUGACCUUGGCCAUAUGAUUUGCUUUGGCAAUGGGGAAGAAUGAACUUGAUGCAGAGAGAAGCUUAAAAGUGCUUGCACAUCGGGGUUUGCCCUCUCCUUGUGAUCUCAAUUACUUUGAAACCAAUACCAUACAAAUAGCCUAGGCUAGCCUGCUGAGGUCAAGUGCUCCUAUCAUUCCAUCACCAUGGCAGCCAAUGCUGACAGCCAGAACCAUCAUUCAGACAUGUGACUGAGGCCAUGUUAGAGCAAUCAGGCCAUAGUCCACCCAUCAACUGAUGGUAAUUGCAUGAGUAAGCCCAAGAGACACCAGCAGAACUGCCUUGCAAAGCCUCAUACAAACUGUAGAUUCACAGAAUUAUGCAGCAAAAGUCAACUACACAUCCAGGUAUUAUAGUAAGAAAUCCCUAUUCAAGAUUUCAUUUAAUCUUUUCAAUGCCCCUGUGUUCUAGGAACUAUUGUUAUCCUCAUUUAUGUAUAUGAAAGUCAUGGUCUCCAGGAGGAUAUGUGACUAGGAUCACAUAGCAAGUAACAGGCAGAUGCCAUCCUAGGGAGUCUGACUCGGGGCGGGGGGCAUAUCCACACCAUGACAGUUGUCCUUUAUGAUCUGGGAGGUGCUUUAUGGCACAAGUCAUUCUCAUUUCAGGAAUGGAAGACCUUGGGUGAAGCCCUCCUUUGGUACCCAGUUACCCUAAGGGAUCCUGCAUAUGUCUACAAAAUAUGCCAUAAAUCGUUGGCUAUCCAGGAAUUAUAUUAUGUUCCCCUAUAUGAAGCCCAUUCUUUGCAAGCUUUGAGGUGUUUUUUUCUCCCUUUAUGAGGAAGUUAAAAAAUUGGCAGCAGGCUGAGGGUCUGGAGCUUGGGAGUAGGAGAUAUGAGUCAUAGGGAAAAUUGUUCAGGACAGAGAAUUGAGUCCGCACCCAUCCCAUUUCUCUUACUUUGGAUCUGCAAAUGCUGUUUCCAGUUGAUGACUUCUGGUGAGACGAGACAUUUCUGACAGUUCUUGAAGUCCUUGGAGUAGAUUUGCAUGGAGAAGGAGCAUGAGAAGUUCAUAUGAAAAGGCAGGAGAAUCUUUGCUCGUUUGGACAUCACUACAUCCCAUUCUGGAAUUUUCCCCAAGGAAAAUAAUUUUUUUAAGAGCAUUUAUUCGAACACCAGUGCUAUCAAGAAGGACAUUGAAGAGUCUGAGAAAGAGAAAUCCUCCAAACUGGAAGGGUCCCUGUGGUUGUGAGGGAAGGAAAUACAGCAAUGCAUACCAGUGUGGACCUUGGGAGCUAAGUGCAGUUGGAAACAUGAUGCUUCAGCAGAUUGUAUGGAAAGAUGCUAAAGACCAAGGACCAAUGAAAUGAUAAGUUCCAUGACAAAGGACCACACCUCACCCUGUACUUCCCUACUCCUGGCAUAUUUAAUACCAUAUUAAACUUAAUAUGAGAGGACAUA